This 1110-nucleotide ribosomal RNA is filed under the name Klebsiella quasivariicola. Its description in RNAcentral is "bacterial SSU rRNA". It matches the Rfam family "Bacterial small subunit ribosomal RNA", at positions 51 to 1153 of the family's 1533-position model. The record is from RNAcentral. Lineage: Bacteria; Pseudomonadati; Pseudomonadota; Gammaproteobacteria; Enterobacterales; Enterobacteriaceae.
ACACAUGCAAGUCGAGCGGUAGCACAGAGAGCUUGCUCUCGGGUGACGAGCGGCGGACGGGUGAGUAAUGUCUGGGAAACUGCCUGAUGGAGGGGGAUAACUACUGGAAACGGUAGCUAAUACCGCAUAACGUCGCAAGACCAAAGUGGGGGACCUUCGGGCCUCAUGCCAUCAGAUGUGCCCAGAUGGGAUUAGCUAGUAGGUGGGGUAACGGCUCACCUAGGCGACGAUCCCUAGCUGGUCUGAGAGGAUGACCAGCCACACUGGAACUGAGACACGGUCCAGACUCCUACGGGAGGCAGCAGUGGGGAAUAUUGCACAAUGGGCGCAAGCCUGAUGCAGCCAUGCCGCGUGUGUGAAGAAGGCCUUCGGGUUGUAAAGCACUUUCAGCGGGGAGGAAGGCGUUAAGGUUAAUAACCUUGGCGAUUGACGUUACCCGCAGAAGAAGCACCGGCUAACUCCGUGCCAGCAGCCGCGGUAAUACGGAGGGUGCAAGCGUUAAUCGGAAUUACUGGGCGUAAAGCGCACGCAGGCGGUCUGUCAAGUCGGAUGUGAAAUCCCCGGGCUCAACCUGGGAACUGCAUUCGAAACUGGCAGGCUAGAGUCUUGUAGAGGGGGGUAGAAUUCCAGGUGUAGCGGUGAAAUGCGUAGAGAUCUGGAGGAAUACCGGUGGCGAAGGCGGCCCCCUGGACAAAGACUGACGCUCAGGUGCGAAAGCGUGGGGAGCAAACAGGAUUAGAUACCCUGGUAGUCCACGCCGUAAACGAUGUCGAUUUGGAGGUUGUGCCCUUGAGGCGUGGCUUCCGGAGCUAACGCGUUAAAUCGACCGCCUGGGGAGUACGGCCGCAAGGUUAAAACUCAAAUGAAUUGACGGGGGCCCGCACAAGCGGUGGAGCAUGUGGUUUAAUUCGAUGCAACGCGAAGAACCUUACCUGGUCUUGACAUCCACAGAACUUUCCAGAGAUGGAUUGGUGCCUUCGGGAACUGUGAGACAGGUGCUGCAUGGCUGUCGUCAGCUCGUGUUGUGAAAUGUUGGGUUAAGUCCCGCAACGAGCGCAACCCUUAUCCUUUGUUGCCAGCGGUUAGGCCGGGAACUCAAAGGAGACUGCC